Molecule: ribosomal RNA, 336 nt
Filed under: Methanobacteriota archaeon
Lineage: Archaea; Methanobacteriati; Methanobacteriota
Description: bacterial SSU rRNA
Rfam family: Archaeal small subunit ribosomal RNA
Source: RNAcentral
AACUUCGGUUGAUCCUGCCGAAGGCUACUGCUAUUGGAGUUCGAUUAAGCCAUGCGAGUCUAAGGGAUACUUGUAUCCCUGGCAUAAUGCUCAGUAACACGUGGAUAAUCUGCCCUCAGGUGAGGAAUAAACCCGGGAAACUGGGGCUAAUACCUCAUAGAUACAGAUAGCUGGAAUGCUUCUGUAUUCAAAGCUCCGGCGCCUGAGGAUGAGUCUGCGGCCUAUCAGGUUGUAGUCAGGGUCAUGACCUGACUAGCCAACGACGGGUACGGGGUGUGAGAGCACUUGCCCGGAGAUGGUUUCUGAGACACGAAACCAGGCCCUACGGGGCGCAGC